UUUUUUUUUUUAAAUGAAAUUCUCUGAGUCUUGAUGGCGGGAUUGAGUGUGCAGAGCUGAGUCAGUCCUGCCUGGCACCCGGAAUUUCUUGCAUAUGGAGAUGAUUGUCCGUUUGCUUUGGGAAGCUCGGCCAGUCUUUCUUCACAGUUCCUGGCAUUCUGGCCUAGCAGGUCAGGUCACAGACUGAUGUCGGCAUCCCAAAUGGGCACCAAUUCAAGUCCUGGCUGCCCCACUUCUGAUCCAGCUCCUGGCUAAUGUACCUUGGAAGACACUAGCAGGUGGUCCAAGUGCUUAUGCCCUGUUCCCACUGUCGCCCACGUGGGAGACCCUGAAGAAGCUCCUGGCAUCGGCCUGGAAAAUCCCUGGCUGUUGUGGUCAUUUGGGUAGUGAACCAGCAGAUGGAAGAGCUCUCUCUCUCUCUCUCUCUCUCUCUCUCCAUCUCUCUGCUACUCUGCCUUUCAAAUAAAUACAACUUUGCAAAAAUGAAACAGACAUUGGGAACGAGCAUGGCUGCUGGAAGCCCAGAUUGCUGCGCCCCACUCCAGCAGAGCUGGGCGUCAUUGCUAGCUCCUGCUCCUGACUCCAGCUUCCCCACAAUGCACAGCCUGGGAGGCAGCAGGGACGGCUCAGGCAGUUCACUCCCUGACGCCCUGGAUUGCAUCGCCAGCUGCGAGUGUAGCAGGCAGGAUUCAAAAUCAAGACACCAAGGCUUCUUAAAAGGACAGUCUUUUCUUAUAUGGGCAUAAGGCCCAGGUGGAAUUUCUUAGCCCAAAUCCUGAGCCCUGAACAAAGAAGCAUUUUCCCUUCUAUAUGGUUUUAGUCUUUUUGUCUCACUUAUAUAGCUACUUGCAUGCAUUUGAUUGUGUAUUCUUUUUUUUUUUUUUUUUAAGAUUGAUUUUAUUUAUUUGAAAGACAGAGUUACAGAGAGAGGUAGAGAGAGAGAGGUCUUCUAUCCAUUGGUUCACUCCCCAGAUAGCCACAAUGGCUGGAGCUGUGCCAAUCUGAAGCCAGGAGCCAGGAGCUUCUUCUGGGUCUCCCAUGUGGGUGCAGGGGCCCAAGGAGCCCAAGGACUUGGGCCAUCUUCCACCACUAUCCCAGGCCCUAGCAGAUAGCUGGAUCGGAAGAGGAGCAGCCGGGACUAGAACUGGCACCCAUAUGGGAUGCCGGCGCUUCAGGCCAGGGCUUUAACCGCUAUGCCACAGUGCUGGCCUCUUGUUGGGUGUUCUAAUGUGACAUGGUGGGUUGAAACAGUACUGGGCGUGUGAAUGUAGUUACUGAGGAGUUUUUCUUUCUUUCUUUCUUUUUUUUUUUUUCACACAAACUGAGCCUUCUGCGGUCUGGCAAGGGUUAACAUCAUUGCUCUGUACUACACGCAGCUCCUGAAGUGGCUGCAGAGCCGUAGACAGGGACCACAGCAGAUAAAGACCGCAUAGCAUUCGCAGGACAGAUGUCGCCUUCUGCUUCCGACCUGGGAAGGCCUCUGCCACAGCUGCAAUCACGGCAGAGCUGAGCCUGGUUAAGACAGAGGCCUCUGCCACAGCCCCACCUUGAUGCUCAGAACCCUUCGGGUCAGACAGCAGUGUGACAUGCGUAGCUGUUUGUUUUCCCGACCAGGGUCUUCACGUAGUUAGAGACAUAUUUCAUAAACGAGGGCACAAGACAAGGAAAAGUCAGAGAGACCCCUAACAUUAUAACCAUAGCACGUAGGAGAGAUUUGAAUCCACUAAAAACCAUCCUCCAAGCAGUCUAGACCAGGACAUGGGGGAGCUUCCUCAUUUGAUCAUUUUUUUAUGAUCUUGUCCUUUUUAUGUGUAUACAACAGUGAUUUAGAUUAAAAUUUUAAAACCAAUACAAAGAGGCAGAAAAAGGAUGGGUCCAUUUAUUGUAUAGGGCAGCUGAUUCCUCAAGCUUCGACCAGGCGUGAAUCAGCCAGUUUCCGGAGUGCCUGAAGCAGCGUCCCUGGUGAACUUUUUGAGGGAAGAAGCACCAGUCUCUUAUUUGGGGGGCUUGUUCUAUCUGUUGAAGGUCUCCCCCCAACCCGUUAGUGGCUUUGUAAGUCUGGAGCAAACAGAUCCAACAAGCAAGUUAAAUCCAACAGGAUCUGAAACAAAAAGGCUGAAUCAUUGCAGAGUGCCUAGGAGGGGUGCUGUCUAAACCAGGAGGGCGUUUUCUCACUGAGGGAGGCGGGUAGGCCAGAACUUCCUUAGAAGGACAUCCUGUCGGCUCUCAUUACCUAGCCGGCCUGGCAGUAGGGGAGUACAGAACAGGCAGUGAAUUCGAGAGGAAGGGCCCAGUCCUGCCAUGUGUGACCCUAGGCCUGCCCCUGGGAGACUGGGCGAGGUAAAGGACUUUUCCAGCAUGGAGCCAGCAGGGUCUACGGUUUGUGUUGUGUGAGUGUGUGUGUGUUUUUUUUUUAAACAGGCAGAGUGGACAGUGAGAGAGAGAGAGAGAGAGAGAGAGACAGAGAGAAAGGUCUUCCUGUGCCGUUGGUUCACCCCCCAAUGGCCGCCGCGGCCCGCGCACUGCGCUGAUCCGAAGGCAGGUGCCAGGUGCUUCUCCUGGUCUCCCAUGGGGUGCAGGGCCCAAGCACUUGGGCCAUCCUCCACUGCACUCCCAGGCCACAGCAGCGAGCUGGCCUGGAAGAGGGGCAACCGGGACAGAAUCCGGUGCCCUGACCAGGACUAGAACCCCGUGUGCCAGCGCUGCAGGCAGAGGAUUAGACUAUUGAGCCACGGUGCCGGCGGGUCUGUGGUUCUAAGCAGGAAGCCCUUUGGGCCCAGGGCAGUUCCACCUACCCAGCUCCUGCCAGGAUUUUGGAGAGGCUGGCUUUGGUCAGGACGGCUAUUGCCCCAUCUCUCGGCUUUCCAUAUGGACACCUGACGCCGUGCGGGGUGGGCUGGCCUCGCUGGGUCUUUGACGGCAGGACACUGGGGACAGUGGCCAUUGGUUGGCUGUACAUUGCUCCUGCUGCCUAACUCGUUGUUUCUUUCUUGGUCUCUGCUGAAGUAGAGCACUGAGACAGCCUCUAGGAUAUCAGUCAGGGCUGUUCAGUUCCAUCCUCAGCCUGUGGUGGCCAAGCUACGAGGUCACGGGCGUGUUUAGACAGCUUUUCCUGUGAGACAGAACCACACCCGGGAGGAAAGCUAUGUCUUUCAGAUAAGACUGAAACAUGAUGAUCGGUUUACCUAACCUGCCUAUAAAUUUGGUGUUAGUAAUUUGUCAAAGGAUAACUUUAAACUGGACUUCAUAGAGAGCAGUGAGCACUGUAUUUUACCUUUUUUUUAUAUUAUUUUAAAUCACUGUUGUACUUGUAUGAUUGUAAAUACCUAACCCAAGCGCAGGGUGCUUGGCCAGCAAACCCAAACACAAACAUGUCAAUGACUUGAGAAAACAUUUUUAGUUUUUCUCUACCAACAAAUUUAGAACAGUCUGCUUAUCAGAGAUGUAUUGAAGUCACAUGUACCAAAAAGGUACUUUGUGUUAAUUUAGCAGCCUUAUAUGACUGCUUUUUUUUUAAUCUACAAGCCAGUCAAAACAGUUUUUAAUAAUUUUUUACAUAGACAUGCAACCUGCAUACGUAUAACGUAUGUAUAACAUAUAUUACAAGACUAAACUAUAAAAGUGUUAGUAACCAUUUUUUAACUUUUAAAAAUUAAGGCCAGCGCCACGGCUCACUAGGCUAAUCCUCCGCCUAGCGGCGCCGGCACACCGGGUUCUAGUCCUGGUUGGGGCGCCGGAUUCUGUCCUGGUUGCCCCUCUUCCAGGUCAGCUCUCUGCUAUGGCCCGGGAGUGCAGUGGAGGAUGGCCCAGGUGCUUGGGCCCUGCACCCCAUGGGAGACCAGGAGAAGCACCUGGCUCCUGGCUCCUGCCAUCGGAUCAGCGCAGUGUGCUGGAGGGUGAACCAACGGCAAAGGAAGACCUUUCUCUGUCUCUCUCUCUCACUGUCCACUCUACAUGUCAAAAAAAUAAAAAAAAAAUUACCAUUUAUUGAUUAGAAUUACCUUUUGUUUUAGUAACCUAGAUUAACCACACCCUUUCAGUUGGAAUCUGUAGUUUAUUAUUAAAUUUUAGUUUGUAUCUAUUUACAGAGCUGUCCCAAAUUACCAAAAACAAUAGGAGUCAUGGAAAAAGGGGUGUUUUUUUUUGGGGGGGGGACCUAGAAGAGGAAAUAUUUAAAUACAGACCCAACAAUAUUUUAAUUUUUAUGAAUAGCCUGGUUUUCUUUUAGAGGGUUGAAACCUCUUAUUAAGAGCAUAUUGGUGGCCGGCGCCGCAGCUCACUUGGCUAAUCCUCCACCUGUGGCGCCGGCACCCCGGGUUCUAGUCCCGGUUGGGGCGCCGGAUUCUGUUGCAGUUGCUCCUCUUCCAGUCCGGCUCUCUGUCGUGGCCCAAGUGCUUGGGCCCUGCACCCGCAUGGGAGACCAGGAGGAAGCACCUGGCUCCUGGCUUUGGAUCGGUGCAGUGCUCUGGUGGUAGCGGCCAUUUGGGGGGGUGAACCAACGGAAAAGGAAGACCUUUCUCUCUCUCUCUCUCUCACUGUCGAACUCUGCCUGUCGGGAAAAAAAAAAAAAAAAAGAGAGAGAGAGAGAGAAUAUUGGGGCUGACACUGUGGUGUAACAGGUAAAGCUGCCACCUGUAGUGCCAGCAUCCCAUAUGGACACCAGUUCGAGACCCAGCUGCUCUGCUUCUCAUCCAGCUCUCUGCUAUUGUCACUGGAGAAAAAGCUGAGGGUCCUUGUCUUUGUGCAAGUAAGAAUUCAGCCGUGAGACAGGGAGCAGUGGAAAGCAAAGCAAAGUAGCAAAGUUUAUUAGAGUAAGGAGAGAGAGUGCCUAGUUCACAUUUAGGCUGGGGUUUUUUAAGGGAUGGGUCUCGCCUUCUUGCCUUUUCUCUUCCCAUCUCCUUCUUCUCCUCCAGAACAAAGGACUUGUUCGGUGUAAAUACGAAAAUUUCCUUUCUGAGUUUCCCUCUGUAGUUGUCAGAGGAAGCCUUUGUGACUCUGCCUUUCAAAUAAUAAAUAAGUAAACUUUUUUUUUUUGACAGCUAGAGUUAGUGAGAGAGAGAGAGAGAGAGAGAGAGAGAAAGGUCUUCCUUCCAUUGGUUCACCCUCCAAAUGGCCGCUACGGCUGGAGAUACACCGAUUCGACGCCAGGAGCCAAGUGCUUUCUCCAGGUCUCCCACGUGAGUGCAGGCGCCCAAGCACUUGUGCCAUCCUCCACUGCCGUCCUGGGCCACAGCAGAGAGCUGUACCAGAAGAGGAGCAACCAAGACUAGAACCCAGUGCCCAUAUGGGAUACCGGUGCCGCAGGCAGAGGAUUAACCAAGUGAACCAUGGUGCUAGCCCCUAAGUAAACCUUUUUUUAAAAAGGAAUAUUAUUGACAAGAGGCACUUGUUUACAUAGUAUUUUAGAAGGUACCUGUAGGACUUCAUAAAACAUUUAUCUCUUUUAGGCCUUUAGGACUCUUUACUAAGAUAACCUUUGUGACUGAUAACAACGCAACAAGAUCAUUAGACUUGUAACUUUAGACAUUUGUAUCAGUACAUUUUAUUUAUCUAUUUGUUAAAGAUUUACUCAUUUGAAAGGCAGAGUUAGAGAGAGAGAAGUCUUCCAUCCGGGUCUCCCACAUGGGUGCAGGGGCCGAAGCACCUGGGCCAUCUUCCACUGCUUUCCCAGGCCACAGCAGAGAGCUGGAUGGGAAGUGGAGCAGCCGGGACUUGAACCGGCGCCCAUGUGGGAUGCUUUGCACUGCAGGCGGUGGCUUCAUCCGCUACACCACAGCACCAACCCCUACGCUGGCAUUUUUAUGUGUGAGAUAGAUACGUAUGUCUCUUUAGAUUUUAGAUUGAAUCUGAGCCUAGUGUUUCCUCUAACAAGCGCUUUGGGAUGACACCUCAUCAACAGUCAGGUACCUGGGACUGUCUAAAAGAAACUUGUGUUCAGGCAACUGCAAGACAGGUCCCAGGGUGACAGGGCCGAGCAGUAGCUACACAGGUGGGCGAGGAGCCCACUGGAGAUUGCUAGCUUACAUUCUAGGAGACUUUUAAGUGUCACUGCCCCAGGCUGAGAGACAGAGUCUCUCUCAGCAAAGGGGUGGAGUUAACACACCACAAACCAAAGAGAGGAAGAAAAGUUUAAACUGCCUCUCUCUCCCUCUCUCUCUCUCUUUUCAAAGAAACUAUAGCCAGAGGGGAGGGAAGUGGCGUUUAGCCCCCUAGGCCCUUAUACAAGUACAACAGAAGUUUGGUUUUAUAACCUGAUGAUGGGUUUUAGGUUAUGAAAAAAACGAUGUCAAUUUUAUGCCGUGUUUAUCAUUUGACAGUUUUAUGGAUCCAAUUACAAGUCUCAAGGCCAGAGGCUCAGGUAAGUAAGAUACAGCCUUUUGCUAUUCUUGAGGUCAUUUUACUUAAUUACCACUCAGGAAACUCUUUGUCCCGAGGAAAGGGAGUAGGGAAGGAGAAACAACUGGACUCCAGUCCCUGAUAAGCCCAGUGUGGGCACAGGCUGUGUGCUCACUUCUCUGCCUUUGAGCUGACUACCUGGCCUGCCAGCUGUAUUUUCUCCCAUUAAACCAUGUAACCUUGUUUACCAUAGUUCUCUCUCUCACUCUCUCUCUCUCAAGAUUUAUUUAUGUGAAAGAAAGAGUUACGGAGGCAGAAGCAGAGGUCUUCCAUCGGCUGGUUCACUCCCCAAAUGACUGCAACAGCUGGAGCUGAUCCGAAGCCAGGAGCCAGGAGUUUCAUCCAGUUCUCCCACACGUGUGCAGGGGCACAAGGGCUUGGGCCAUCUUCCACUGCUUUCCCAGGCCAUCAGCAGGGAGCUGGAUCAGAAGAGGAGCAACCAGAACACCAAACGGCGCCCACAUGGGAUUCCGGUCCUGCAGGUGGCAGCUUUACCCGCUACACCACCAUGCCAGCCCCCAUAGUUCUCUGUCUUACAUCAGAACUCUUUUUUGCAUAGAGACAAGAACCUAGUUUUGCCAGAUGUAUUUUUCUCAUUUAUUGCUGUUUUCUGUCUUACAGCAAGACUCUUUUUUGCAUGGAGACAAGAACCUACUCCAGCAUGUCCACUAACGGUACCAUGGCACCAAGGCUCUUUGAGCACGGACUUCUAGCUCUGCAAGACCAACCCCCAGUCCCGUGCAGGAGGCCAUCAAUGAAGGGAGCCUUUGGGGGCUGCCGCUGUGGCGUAGUGGGUAAAGCUGGUGCCUGAAGUGCUGGCAUCCCAUACGGGUGCUGGUUCGAGUCCCAGCUGCUGCACUUCUGAUCCAGCUUCCUGCUACUGGGCCUGGGAAAGCCUCAGAAGAUGGUCCAAGUGCUUGGGCCCCUGUACCCAUGUGGGAGACCUGGAAGAAGCUCCUGGCUCCUGGCUCAGCCUGGGCCAUUGUGGCCAUCUGGAAAUUGAACAAGUGGAUGCAAGAUUCUCUCUCUCUCUCAUAUUCUCUCACUGUAAUUCUGACUUUCAAAUCAAUCAAUCAGUCAUAAAAAAGUCAAAAGAGAACAAGCAGUGAUGAUGACGUGGAGAAAAGGGAGCUGCUCACGCUGUUGGCAGGAGUACAAGGUAGCCCAGCUCUGUGUAAGGAUGGAAGUCACUCAACAGUGUGAAAACACAGCUAUCACAUAACGUUGCAGGGAUGCAGCCGGAGGAUCCGACAUGGCUUGUGGGAGGCACAGCCGUGCUCCCAUGUUACUGCAGCAUAGGUCACCGUACCCAGGAAAUGGAUACCAGCUGGGGGACUGAGGACAGCACGGCACAGCCACAUGUGGAAUCCCAUCCCGCCACAAGGAAGGACGGCACGCAGGCAUUUCCAACCAUGGAGGGCUGCACACCUCGCGCCCGGGUGGAAUCUGAACAAGGGGCUCCGAGGCACACAGGAGCUGGCAGGGCCGACGGGUGCCGGGCCAUGGUUAGCUUGGAGUCUGGGGUCUUCUACUGCCCCAGAGAUGACAAGAGGGCUGCAUACAUCCAUUUUCACCAGAAACCAUGGUAAAAGGAGCUCACUCUGUCCACCGUGAAUUUUAAUAGCCUGAUCUAUUCACAUAGCAAACCAUCAGGAUACUGCAAAGAUAUAUAAAAACAUAGCCCAGCAUAUCUAUACAAUGGAAUGUCAUCUGGAUUCAAAAGGACAGAAAUGGACUGGCGUUGUGGUACUGGUCACUCUUGAAAAGCUGGCAUCCCGAACCUGAGCCACUUUGAGUCCUGGCAGCUCCACAUCUGAUCCAGCUACCUGCUAAUGCACCUGCGAAAGAGCUUAACAGGGCCCAAGUACUGGAGCCCCUGCCACCCACAAGGGAGACAGGAUGGAGUUCCAGGCUGCUGGCUUAGGUCAGGUCCAACAGGGCCACUGAAGCCAUAUCAUCCCCCAAGCUGCCAUAGAAAUAAAUGAAAUAAUUCCUUUUGUAAUGACAGAUACAGACUGCUCCUAGGACACAUCCAUGAGGCUACCUGAGGCUACAGGAAAUGCGCCCAAGCCCCCUGGAGUGUGGGUCCCCGUGCACGACUGCCCUCUAGUGGUCAGGUUCACAGACCAGGGUGCCCACGAGGCUGCUGGGCGCGGGGAGGUGGAGAGCUGAGUUACAGUGUGACAGUGAGAGGUCAGGUUUGCUGCUGAAGAGAGUUCUGGGAUGACAGCUGCACACGAGCAGUGUGCCCACCCAGCACGCACGGCACAGCUGCAAACGGCUGAGAGCGCCCAGCACCGCACCAACGAGGACAGAGAUGUGCCAAGACACACACCACCUUGCUGGAUGUGCAGAGUGGGGCGGUGCAGCAGGUGGAGGAGUUCAGCCCCACGUCCCACACUGAGACACUGACUCCGCACGGGACGCUGGGAAGCACCCCUGCAGCCUUGGACUGCCCUCCCUGACCACAGGGCCUUCUCGUGCCUGCGACCUGGACUGCACCACAGUCGAGGCUGACGAUGUGACCAAUGGUGAUUGCAGGCCUGUGUCACUGAGCUCAGCCUUGUGACCAAUCCCCAGCACAGCCCUGGAAACAGCCCAGGGAACUGCCUGGCCCCCUGCCUCUCUGUGCCUGUCACACAGCGGUGCUGGGAGCACCAAGUCCUGUCAGGAUGAGUCCUCCAGGAAGGAUCGGUACAAGCUCAUGUCUGCCCUGGAUGGAUGUGGCCCCAGGAGCCCCUCCCCAGAAUUCCGAACACGUCCCUUGGCUGGAAUAAACCAUCACAGUGAGGACGACAGCAUUCCUAGUUCUGGGAGGGCUUCUAGCAAAUCACAGAGCCUGAGGGAGGUAUGGGGACCCCACACUCUCUCCAGCCAGAGCUGAGGCUGAUGCCACACAGACGCCCAUGCACACACCUGCUGCUCCCCACACUCAGAGCCAAGAUUGCUGCACGACCUUGGUCACCAACACACAUCCAGAGUGCGGCCAAUGGGGGACAUGGCAAGAUGUCCUCUAUGAGUAUCGGGGCCCCAGGUCUGAGAUGAAUCCAGAAGACAGGGCCAGGGCCAGGAGCCGGGCACCCCAUGCACCUGCGGAGAAAGGCAUGAAGGCCUCUUGCUUCACGAAGCGGCCCUGGGCGUCCAGGAAGUGUCCCGGGUGGAAGCGGAAGGGCUUCUCCCAGACGGCCUCGUCCUUCAGCACCGAUGACAGCCCGAGUUCUAGACUGUUGUGCGGCACCCAGGUACCCCCAGGACACGCGGGGCCUCACCGUCCCUGCCCUCGCCCUUCCAUUCAUCUUCUCACCUUCUCCACCUCGGCCAGUGGCCGCUCCAGGAAGGCCCUGCCCCACCCCCAUGGAGGCAAAUCCUCACCCUCAGUGUCUGAGCCCGCAUCGAGGGCAGGAAGACCUUUUUCUUCUCGAGCAAGGUCUUGGUCAGGUCCAGCAGCCUGACGAAGUGCGGGUCAUCGUACUCGAAGCGGCGACCAAAGCCACAUUGGGUGCCAGAUGUUGCUGUGGAUUCGUUCUGAGAGGAGGAGCAUGGUGGGGGCAAGAGGAGCAGAGUCACGACACAGACACCAGGAGUUGGGUGAAAGUGGGCCAGAGGUGAGCAUCUCAAAGACUCGUUUAUUUCAGUUGGUGCAGCUGCUUAUAUAGCCAAGGCAGCCAAUCCGGUCAAGGGGCAGUUUAUGCCCCAUCCAAUCUCAGCCUGUUGCCAGGCAGGCUUCUUUGCCAGGUAGGUUUUGCUGCCAUUUCCUGAGUAGUGACACUUGCUCGUCAGCACCAUCUUGGCAUAACAUUCUCAUUUCACCACAGUGGGGGUGUGGGACCUGGCGAGAGCAGGCCUCUACUCUAUGCAGAAUACAGGCUUGCUCUGCCCUCAUCUCUCAUAUGGCAUCCAUACCUGCCUGUAGGGCCAGGUCCCAGCAAUCGGAGGUCUAGGGUGGCCAGCAGAAGGGGUUGAGCUGCCCCACAUACCCAGCGCCUCUCGCUUGACUGCAGACACACACAGCUCUCCCACGCACAGCCCGGCUCACACGGCCCUCACACAGCCGCUCACACAGCCAUGCACAGUCAGGCCCGGGCUCCCUGUCCUCGGUGAUGCCUCUGGGGCCGCUCCACCAGACCUCUCCUGUGGGAGCUGCUCCCUGGGAACCCGAAUCCCUGGGCCUGCAGCCAGCCAUGGCCACUGAGCCUCGGCGUCACAGAAUGGGCAGGUUGCCCUGACGGGGCACUUGGUGGCCCGAGGUCCUUCCUUCCUGUGGCCACCUCCGGCCUGCUGUCCCCCGGGAUGUUUCCUCCACCCACCAGGGUUUGGAUGUGGUUUGUCCCCAACGGGCAGGGGGUUGGCGUGGUCCCUGAUGGCAGUGUGGGGAGGCAGGGAGACCCUCUCUGGUGGGACCCUGCGGGAGGUCCUUAGGUCAGUUGGGUUGCUCUCAUGUUAUACUUGGAACGUCCGAUUCCCACCAGUUGAGACCACCAGGAGCAGGGGCUGAUGCAAACGCAAGAGUUUUACUUCAAAAUCGAGUUUGGUCCGACGUCCACACCAGGCGCAGCUGGGCUGGAUUGGCGGCCCUGAAGUAAGAUUGUUGGGGUUUUUAUAGAGUUUAACAAACAAGUUCAGCUAUACAGCAUCUGAUAGGCUCAUAUUUUAAAUUUAUAGUUGUUGUUCUAUGAUUGACUAAAGUAUAGGGUCCGAGCUGCUACGGUGUCCAUGCCAAACUGCAAGGGUUUGGGGAUGUGUCACCCUAACUGCCUGAUAGGACACCUGGAACUUUAGGUGUUUCCCUCCUAUAUGCUGAUUGGCUGUUGCUAGGGGACUUUAUUGCAAGGGGAGCUUAUUUUUCUUCUUUUAGGAGUUUUUGGCUUAGAGUUCAGGGCCUGGUCAGACCCGAGUUACAAGAUGGAGGCCUAGUCUACAAUAGCUGCACCUUGACCCAGGCUGAGGUCUCUCAUUCCCCCCUUCUACUAUUGGGGCCAAUCGUGGUCCCCUUUUACCCACUUUAAUGGCCUGCUCGUCUAGGCGCUAGUAUGAGAUCAGGGUCUAGAACAAAGGACAGAAAGGUGCUGCCUAAGCCAAAUAGAAACUGACAGAAGGGGCCUGAUAAUGAUCUGGUGGGCUUUAAGGCCUUGUUAGCUAUGAGGCCCAGACCUAUUUAUCCUUUUACAUGGGGUACAUUUUAAGAGAGGUGUGAACUCCUUGGGAAGGCCCCCUGAUGAUUUCCAUUACCCAGCUGGUCUGGGAGGAGAGCUGGCCAGGUAAAGGCAGGUGGCAUUUUUUUAAACAGGAAAUUUACAGUCCUGUCUGCAGUGCUGCUGACCCCACUUAGCCGUCCCCUCUGCAGCGGUGGUUACUUUGGAGGCUGGGCUGAGUAAAGAGUUUUUUGGCUUAGAGCCAACAGGAUCUGUGGCUCUGACCUGGGCGUCCUUGGACUCCAGGGCAGGUCCAUUUCCAGUGAUCCAACUCUUGGCUGGCAGAGCUGCCAGGGCUCUUUAUAAGCUGAUUUCUGCUGAAGCCCUGAUUUUCCACAUCGAAAACCAAUGCAGUGGACUGUCCUGUUGGGUCUCCUUGAUGGCAGAUCACUGUACAGACCAGCCAUCAAAGGGCCUGCCCCUGUCUUUACAUUGCUUCUGAUGCCUAGCUUUUUUUUUCCUCCUGGUUUUUGUUAAAGCAGACCAGAGGAUGUAAGUCAAGGGGAUGUUUAAGUCCCAUCUCUAAUCUUUGUGGCCUAAACUAGAAGUCUAUAGUCACAGGCAUGUUCUGAUAGUCUUUAUUUUGGGGCAGACAAUGCCCGUGAGGAAAGCUAUGUCCUCACUUUAAACUUUAUUGUUGCUUGUUUGUCUGAAAUGGAGGUUUUGCCUAUUUACUGUGCCCAUGGCGAAGUAAGCCUAGCUGUGAAAAUAUAAUUUAAACUCUCCUUUUGGCUAUACCAUUAUUACAAAAAAGUUAGUCAUUUUUAUAAGAUUUUAAAAAAUUAAACUGUACAUCUACAGAGUUUUUCAGAAUAAAAUUAGUUUCCUGCUUCGAGGAGAAUAGAGAAAUGAGGGAGCAAGUCCCGGAUUGUUUGCUGCACACACUUGAUCUUAGCCAAAAGGCCGAGGAGCCAUAGAUUGUUUGCUGAUAAUAGCAAUAUCAAAUGAAAACCUAGUAAGUAAUUUUAACCAUUAGAUAACAACUUAGGAAAACAUUUACUAGAAGGCCUCAUGCCUUCUAUAAAUUUUAAGAAUGCAUGCAUUUAGAAACAUUUCUUAAAUAUUUAACAUGGUGUAGCUUGUUUAACCAGAAAACUCAAGCACAAACAUAUAAAAACAAUUUUAGUUUCUUUUUUCUUUUUUGCUGAAAUUUAUUUUUUUAUUUUUUAUUUUUAUUUUAAUUUUAGUUUCUUUUUACCAACAGAUUUAAAACAUCUA
This is a non-coding RNA of Oryctolagus cuniculus (rabbit), 12806 nucleotides long. The record is from RefSeq and is a predicted model, not a curated record. Lineage: Eukaryota; Metazoa; Chordata; Mammalia; Lagomorpha; Leporidae.